CUGAAAACAAAUACUUCAUAUCUGAAUUCCUCGAUCUUUAUGCAACUUUGCCAUUUUACUUCUGAUAAUGGGAGAACAAUUGAAAGACAUUGCUGUAGUUCUUCUCAUGUUUGUCUGUUUGCUUGUCUCUUGCUGCUAGAAUUGCAAUCAGUAUUCCAAGAUCUGCAGCUUCAGGAAAAAUGUCAGCUGGAUUUCACAGAUGCAGUGUUUGUGGGUGUACAUGAUGCUGUGCCUCCAAGGGGGUUUUCCAUGCCAACGGAACUGAUGUGGCUGUCAUCCAGGUUCCAUUCGAAGACCCCAUUGUUCCAAGAACUCUCCGGAAUUCGACCCAGCGACCUUUCAAUUACUGGCUCAAUGCUCUAACUGCUAGGCUACCUUACGCCACUACUGCCUGGUCAUGGCUCGGUUCAAUGACAUUUCCUUCAAAAGGCACCUGCACAGAGGGCAUCAGCUUUCAGCGGGGCAUCCAACCGUUCAACUACAUGUGGGAGGUUGGUGUCGGACCUGACCUGGCUAUGCAUCCUAGGUACAUUAUGCUCUAUGAAAACCAGUGACCAUGGACGUUUCUCUCCACCACCAGAUACAUCUGAGAGGUCAGCCAAGACGCUGGAAGUUCAGCAUGCCUCUACCAAACGCUGCCUCGUCACAACUACUGAGCUGAUCUGCGAGACUAGUGUCUUCCACAGAAGGGGUGAAGACUGACAACAAACUUGACUCUGGCCAUCAUUGGUGCAGAACCUCCCUCCUGGACUCCACCUGCAGGCCCCAAGAGACUGUUGACACCCACCAGGGUUCUAACUUUGGACUCUACACCUAUGGACUACCAGUGGUGAAUGGGAUCGUGUUCUACAAGCAAUAUUCACCCGAAGACAGGCUUGUCAUCAGACAUCUUAUAGGUAUGGCUCUACAUUUCGUAACGCCUCUGCGUAACGUGCACACUAUCGGAUUUGUCAAAAGAAACAUUGGAUAUCUGGUCCUAAAGGGGCUGCGCUACUAAGCAGUGUCCCACUCAACCCAUUGUAUGCUGAUGGGAUAUUUAAUUUACUUUCUGAAUGACAAAAUGUAAUGUGACUAACUGGUUAAUGAGUGCUUUUGACUAGAACAAUCUUAAUGUGCUUUUGAAGUUUGGACUUUCAAUCUCAGGAUCUUUGAGGGAGACUCAGUCACACACUCGCUGACCAGGUUCCAAUAAACUGAGUCUUCAGUAAACAGCUGGGUUCCAAAUGACCUGAUGGAAUUACCUUUUUCUUCAGUUUAGCUUUGCCAGAGGCUAGACUCCCAUUGUGAUUCCUCGGACUCUGACGAUGACAGAGACUACAAAGUAUCCUGUUACAACAAUCUACUAAAUGAAUUUGGGUCCCCUGGCCACACCCAGCAAUUUAAACUAGCAUUGAAUCAAUACUUUCAUGUUAUUACUCUAUUUAAAAUGAAUAAAUUGUUGGCUCUUGUAGACUUCCUCCAGUAUCUUUGUUUUUAAGCUUGAUAUAUUGCUCUUAACUGCAGACUUCAAGGAGGGUGUCUGAUGGACUUAGUGAUGUGCAAAUUCCAUGUUUUGUGCAGCUGUAUAAAGAUAACAGUGGGACUGCCUGUGUAAACGCAGCCAAUUAUUUUUCCAGUAGUUGAUUGUCUCCAAUAGGGUAAAAGAUAAUGACUGCCUGUGUAAAUGCAGCCUUUGCUCAGGGGUAUACAACUCAUACCCUACAAGGUCCAGCGCCUGCUGGUUUUGCUCUGCUAAUGACCUUGUGUUCCAGGUCUAAAAUCGGUCCCAAAAAUUCCAGUCCUGAAUUUGCAUCCAGGAAUGUGUUUACUUGUGGUGAGCCCUUUUCUCUAGGCUUAAAAUUAGCUGUUAAAUGGGGCAGAGAUUACAUGACUGCUACUUGGACACUUCAAAUAGUGUUACCCAACAUUAUAGCAAAACCCUUAGCAUGCUCAUUGUGACAUAAAAAUAACCUGUCAUUCUUCUUUAGCAAACAUGUUUAGUUAUGCAGUCGACUCAGCAAUACAUUACCUCAUGCUUGUAAUUGAAAGGCGCAAUCUGCAGUUGCUUUUGGGGCCUUUAUGCCCAUUUUAUAUACAGUGGAUUUGAAAGUAUUCAUAGAUUUGCCCCUGGUGGGAUAUACAAUGAACUCUUCACCAUUAAAGCCUUUUUUCCCCUUAUCAGGAUGCCUACACCACAGUAGGUAGCAUCAUAGAUUUAAAGAGCUGGGUUGAAGUGGCCUAACAGACAAGGUUCAUUUAAACGUCAUGUGGGCAUUCAGUAUGUCAGACUCUUACUAAACUAGUUUGACGUUCAAGUGUAAAAUUAAAUUGCAUGAGCAGUUUUCAAGCACGUUGUGCUGUGAUUCCCCCAGAUAGCAAUUAACUACAUUGGUGACAGCUGUCUCAAAUCAAUUGCUAAACAUGCCCCAUGCUUUAAAACUUGAGUGUCCAUGUGUUUAUCCGACUAGAUAAAAAUACUAAACAGCCUACCCGACCGAGGCGUCUGCAGGGUCCUUAAGCGCGCACACACACCUGUGUCUGUCAACCCGUCCCAAUCCCUCAGAUCCUCCACUCUCACCAAUAACCACCAUUGAAUCUUCGCUAGAAUGACAAGGAAUAAUGACUAGGCAUCCUUUCCUAAUCUAUCCAGAACUCAAUGUCACAGCAGGUUUGCAAGUCCAAAAUAAAAUUACGUAGUAUGGUUGAAUCCAUCCUUCCCAAGUCUAAACCAUCCCUCACCAAGCUUGUCCCAACCUUACGUAUCCACUUAGUCAUUCUCUCCCAACAUACCUUAUGCACCCACAGCCACUCCUACACCUGUAUUCCCCAUCCUAUUCUGAUACACACAAUUUGACAUGCAUGCAAUAUGUUUCCCUUUGAAAUUUAUUUCAGUGUCCAUGUAGCCCAUUGUCAUCGGCUACUUCUACUGAUAAAUCAGUUAUUUGGGGAAAGUAGAG
Long non-coding RNA from Oncorhynchus tshawytscha (Chinook salmon), 2936 nucleotides. The record is from Ensembl. Lineage: Eukaryota; Metazoa; Chordata; Actinopteri; Salmoniformes; Salmonidae.